UACGUAGGCAGCGAGCGUUGUUCGGAGUUACUGGGCGUAAAGGGCGUGUAGGCGGUUCUUUAAGUUUGGUGUGAAAUCUCCCGGCUCAACCGGGAGGGUGCGCCGAAUACUGAGGGACUAGAGUGCGGGAGAGGAAAGUGGAAUUCCUGGUGUAGCAGUGAAAUGCGUAGAUAUCAGGAGGAACACCGGUGGUGUAGACGGCUUUCUGGACCGUAACUGACGCUGAGACACGAAAGCGUGGGUAGCAAACAGG
Molecule: ribosomal RNA, 253 nt
Filed under: uncultured bacterium
Lineage: Bacteria
Description: partial 16S ribosomal RNA
Rfam family: Bacterial small subunit ribosomal RNA
Source: RNAcentral